RNAcentral lists this ribosomal RNA (506 nucleotides) under uncultured bacterium. RNAcentral's name for it is "bacterial SSU rRNA". It matches the Rfam family "Bacterial small subunit ribosomal RNA", at positions 27 to 507 of the family's 1533-position model. The record is from RNAcentral.
GGACGAACGCUGGCGGCGUGCUUAACACAUGCAAGUCGAACGAGAAUCUGCGGAAAGAGGAUUCGUCCAAUUGAAGCAGAGGACAGUGGCGGACGGGUGAGUAACGCGUGAGGAACCUGCCUUUCAGAGGGGGGACAACAGUUGGAAACGACUGCUAAUACCGCAUAAGCGCACAGUAUCACAUGAUACAGUGUGAAAAACUCCGGUGGUAUGGGAUGGAUCCGCGUCUGAUUAGCCAGUUGGCGGGGUAACGGCCCACCAAAGCGACGAUCAGUAGCCGACCUGAGAGGGUGACCGGCCACAUUGGGACUGAGACACGGCCCAGACUCCUACGGGAGGCAGCAGUGGGGAAUCUUCCGCAAUGGACGAAAGUCUGACGGAGCAACGCCGCGUGAACGAUGACGGCCUUCGGGUUGUAAAGUUCUGUUAUACGGGACGAAUGGUAUGACGGUCAAUACCCGUCGUAAGUGACGGUACCGUAAGAGAAAGCCACGGCUAACUACGUG